UAAUUUCGUUCGGACGUUUUACUAUUACGCCAACGAACAAAUAAAACUUUUGACCCGAUUAUUAAAAAAGGGAAUUCCGUUCGAAAAAGGCCCCGAAUAAAAAUCUGCCUUUAAAACGUUAAAACAACUGGUGGUUACCGCCCCCGUAAUAAAUUUUUUCAAAUCCGGUAUAUUUAUUAGGAUAAAUACCGACGCCAAUAGUAGGGCCACCGCCGAUAUUAUAUAAUAAUAAUAGGACGAUGGUAAUUGGAAAUUAAUCGGUUAUUCGUCCAAAAUUAUAUCCCCUGUUAAAUAAAAUUAUCCGAUUUAAAAUUAGAAGUUAUUAAUUGUAAUUAAUACGUUAAAGGAUUUCGAACCAACCCUGUUAAAUACCAAAUUUUAUAUUUUUACCAAUUACCAGGUUUUAAUUUAUUAGUUAACCAAGAAAUUUUUAUCCGUUCGCCAAAUACGAUGGGCUAAUUACCUGGCCAAUUUCGAUAUUAUUUUUAAAUACCGUUCCGGCAAAGAUAAUAUAGCAACCGAUACCCUUUCGCGCAAAAUUAUCGAUAACCCUACGGUUAAAACCCGAAUUAUAUUAGAUCGCACCAUUGCAUUAAUUCCUCCAAAAAAAAUCGAUUCCCGAUCCGGCGAACCUUUUCCAACCAUUAGCAAUUUGGAACCCUCCGCACCGCAGGAAAUUAACCUAAUAACCUUUAUCCUGGAAAAAAACCUGAAAUAAAAUUUAAAUUACCACGACAAUUUAUUAACGGUACCCGAAAUUACCCAGGAUAGCAAAAUCUUUUUAAAAACGGCUUUUAUCCGCGAAAUUUAUAAACCUAAGAUUUUCGGCUAUAGAGGCCAAAAUAAAACCUUUAACCGCCUAAAAAAGAAUUAUUAGUGGCCCGACCGAAAUCGAAACGUUAAACGUUAUAUUAAAAAUUAUCGCGAAUAUUAACGUAACAAAAUAUAAUAUAAUAAAACGCCUGGGUUAUUGCACCCAUUGGAAAUUCCUAAACGGUAUUGGUAAUACGUAAUAGUAAACGGCAAAAAUAUAUCCAAAAAUAAAAAAGGUUAUAAUUACGUUUGGGUUUUUAUUUACCGAUUAACCAAAUUUUUAACCAUUUUACCGGGAAAAAAAACGGACACCGCGGAAAUCUUGGCCAUACGGUAUUAUUAAACCGUAUACCGUUGGAAAAACGUCCCCGAUUUAUAAUUUUCCAAUAACGCCGGACCGUUUAUAUUCCAAUUUUUAAAUAUUUUAAACAAAUUAACAGAAAUAAAAUAUAAAUAUAAAAACGCCCGCCACCUUUAAAAUUAGGGCAACGUCGAAAUUACUAACGUUAAAUUGGAUUAAAAAAUGCGUUUUUAUAUAAACAAAUACUAAACGAAUUGGCGACGGCAUAUUCCCGUUUUCGACUUCGGUUAUAAUUCGUCCGUUUACGCCUUUAUUAAUAUA
RNAcentral lists this small RNA (1435 nucleotides) under Pyricularia oryzae. Its description in RNAcentral is "Magnaporthe oryzae sRNA M_BR32_EuGene_00144991". The record is from RNAcentral. Lineage: Eukaryota; Fungi; Ascomycota; Sordariomycetes; Magnaporthales; Pyriculariaceae.